CCUCUUGAAAAUAAGAUAUUUUAAUAUAUAAUCUAUGUUGUCGGGCAACCGGCUACGGCACUAGAGGCUGUAUGAAAUAGGCUAUUUGGACCUGGGGGCAGUACCCAGCACCUCCACCAAUCUUUCUUUCAACGGGGGUGAAACAGGGUAGACAGGUAGCAGUAAAGAUAUGUAUGCUGUGCCCGGUGAGAUACCACCGUUAUCGGUUCAAAUCAAAUGAAUGCUAACGAUAACAACGUAGCACCUGUUGCAAUCGCUGCUUAAGGCGAGCGUAACAAACGCAAAUUCUUGUAACUAUGGUUAGUUUCAAGUGGGGAAUGAGCCGCCCAGCAACAGAACGGCUCGCUU
Molecule: non-coding RNA, 348 nt
Organism: Azospirillum sp. CAG:239
Lineage: Bacteria; Pseudomonadati; Pseudomonadota; Alphaproteobacteria; Rhodospirillales; Azospirillaceae
Source: Rfam